RNAcentral lists this ribosomal RNA (731 nucleotides) under uncultured bacterium. RNAcentral describes it as "bacterial SSU rRNA". It matches the Rfam family "Bacterial small subunit ribosomal RNA", at positions 46 to 770 of the family's 1533-position model. The record is from RNAcentral.
GCCUUACACAUGCAAGUCGAACGGCAGCACGGGUGCUUGCACCUGGUGGCGAGUGGCGAACGGGUGAGUAAUACAUCGGAACAUGUCCUGUAGUGGGGGAUAGCCCGGCGAAAGCCGGAUUAAUACCGCAUACGAUCUACGGAUGAAAGCGGGGGACCUUCGGGCCUCGCGCUAUAGGGUUGGCCGAUGGCUGAUUAGCUAGUUGGUGGGGUAAAGGCCUACCAAGGCGACGAUCAGUAGCUGGUCUGAGAGGACGACCAGCCACACUGGGACUGAGACACGGCCCAGACUCCUACGGGAGGCAGCAGUGGGGAAUUUUGGACAAUGGGCGAAAGCCUGAUCCAGCAAUGCCGCGUGUGUGAAGAAGGCCUUCGGGUUGUAAAGCACUUUUGUCCGGAAAGAAAUCCUUGGCUCUAAUACAGUCGGGGGAUGACGGUACCGGAAGAAUAAGCACCGGCUAACUACGUGCCAGCAGCCGCGGUAAUACGUAGGGUGCGAGCGUUAAUCGGAAUUACUGGGCGUAAAGCGUGCGCAGGCGGUUUGCUAAGACCGAUGUGAAAUCCCCGGGCUCAACCUGGGAACUGCAUUGGUGACUGGCAGGCUAGAGUAUGGCAGAGGGGGGUAGAAUUCCACGUGUAGCAGUGAAAUGCGUAGAGAUGUGGAGGAAUACCGAUGGCGAAGGCAGCCCCCUGGGCCAAUACUGACGCUCAUGCACGAAAGCGUGGGGAGCA